UGGCGGCGUGCCUAACACAUGCAAGUCGAGCGAGGAGAUCCUCGGGAUGAUCCUAGCGGCGGACGGGUGAGUAACACGUGGGCAACCUGCCUCAUAGAGAGGAAUAGCCUUCCGAAAGGGAGAUUAAUACCUCAUAACAUUGCAGUUUCGCAUGGAACAGCAAUUAAAGGAGUAAUCCGCUAUGAGAUGGGCCCGCGGCGCAUUAGGCUAGUUGGUGAGGUAAUGGCUCACCAAGGCGACGAUGCGUAGCCGACCUGAGAGGGUGAUCGGCCACAUUGGGACUGAGACACGGCCCAGACUCCUACGGGAGGCAGCAGUGGGGAAUAUUGCACAAUGGGGGAAACCCUGAUGCAAGCAACGCCGCGUGAGUGAUGACGGCCUUCGGGUUGUAAAGCUCUGUCUUCAGGGACGAUAAUGACGGUACCUGAGGAGGAAGCCACGGCUAACUACGUGCCAGCAGCGGC
This 464-nucleotide ribosomal RNA is filed under the name uncultured bacterium. RNAcentral's name for it is "bacterial SSU rRNA". It matches the Rfam family "Bacterial small subunit ribosomal RNA", at positions 37 to 518 of the family's 1533-position model. The record is from RNAcentral.